RNAcentral lists this long non-coding RNA (863 nucleotides) under Pan troglodytes (chimpanzee). RNAcentral's name for it is "long non-coding RNA NONPTRT004455". Lineage: Eukaryota; Metazoa; Chordata; Mammalia; Primates; Hominidae. The record is from RNAcentral.
CUUCGGCCAGCUGGGGGAUUUGUAGACAGGGUCUGGGGGCUGUGUCAGGUGAAAACCUGCAGUGGUUGGCAAGGCAGCGCCGUUUUACCUGAACCUAUUGUAUCUAAAACGGUUCAAAGUAUCUUCUACAGGAGUUCCAGUAUGCAAAUUAGGAUUGUUCCUGAGCGGUCUCACGACUUGUAGUGUUAGGAUGCUAAUUUUAUUAUUUCCCCCCAAACUGCCUGCAAGGGGAGAUUUGAAGCUGGGAUGCAGUGGUGUCACAGCCUAGAGCCACUAGCUCGCAGUCCAUGAAGGCAGAGGUGGCUUAUUUGAAAAUAGUGGAGCGGAGAGGGAUGGGCCACACCUUUGGCCGAGUUGUAUUUGUAUUGAGGGAUAACUUUGUUUUUUUUCUCCUGGAAACUCACUUGAUUGUUAAUACUUGCUCUUUGCUGUGGCUGCUGAGAUAAGUCUUAACGUUUUCGUUUAACACAGUGAAAAUGUGUGAAAAGGAAUACUGAAUGGCAAACGUUUAAAAAAACAACGGAUGUUCUACCAGUUCUAUCAGUUGCUGGGCAAUUGCUGGUUGUUAAAUCUUGGCUUGCCCAAAUCCCAGGAGAGAAAAUAUCCUGCCGUAUCCUGAACUGUAGUGACACACACAGAACCCCAGAAUUGGCAUAAAGAUUAUUUUAAGCUGAAGACACUUGAGAUUCAAUUGAUACACAAAGAAGCCUUCUCAGAGCUUCCUUUAUCUGACUAGAAGCUGAAACUUCUGAUAAAUGAAGACCAUCAUAAAUUCCCUCUUGAGGAAAGCUACUACCAGGAGAGAGACCAAGAGUAAAUCUACCAUAAAUACCCCAUGACCAUGAGUUCAGAAAACCUACAUA